AGGGAUAUAGCUCCAUGUUAGAGCAUUUGACUGCAGAUCAAGAGGUCUCCAGUUCAAAUCCGCGUGCACCCU
Molecule: transfer RNA, 72 nt
Filed under: Danio rerio (zebrafish)
Lineage: Eukaryota; Metazoa; Chordata; Actinopteri; Cypriniformes; Danionidae
Rfam family: tRNA
About the family: Transfer RNA (tRNA) molecules are approximately 80 nucleotides in length. Their secondary structure includes four short double-helical elements and three loops (D, anti-codon, and T loops).
Source: Rfam by way of RNAcentral